CCCUUAGAUGUUCUGGGCCGCACACGCGCUACACUGAAGGAGGCAGCGUGUACUCCUGGAUCGAAAGAUUUGGGUAACCCGCGAAUCUCCUUCGUGCUAGGGAUUGAGGUUUGCAAUUAUCCUUCAUGAACGAGGAAUUCCCAGUAAGUGCAAGUCAUAAGCUUGCGCUGACUACGUCCCUGCUCUUUGUACACACCGCCCGUCGCUACUACCGAUUGAAUGAUUUAGUGAGGACUUCGGACUGGGACCGAUGCGGCUUUCGGGCUGCGUCGGUAUUCUGGAAAGAUGUCCAAACUGUAUCAUUUAGAGGAAGUAAAAGUCGUAACA
This 327-nucleotide ribosomal RNA is filed under the name uncultured eukaryote. Its description in RNAcentral is "partial 18S ribosomal RNA". It matches the Rfam family "Eukaryotic small subunit ribosomal RNA", at positions 1470 to 1796 of the family's 1831-position model. The record is from RNAcentral.